GAUGAACGCUGGCGGCGUGCCUAAUACAUGCAAGUCGAGCGAACAGAUGAGGAGCUUGCUCCUCUGACGUUAGCGGCGGACGGGUGAGUAACACGUGGAUAACCUACCUAUAAGACUGGGAUAACUUCGGGAAACCGGAGCUAAUUCCGGAUAAUAUAUUGAACCGCAUGGUUCAAUAGUGAAAGACGGUUUUGCUGUCACUUAUAGAUGGAUCCGCGCCGCAUUAGCUAGUUGGUAAGGUAACGGCUUACCAAGGCGACGAUGCGUAGCCGACCUGAGAGGGUGAUCGGCCACACUGGAACUGAGACACGGUCCAGACUCCUACGGGAGGCAGCAGUAGGGAAUCUUCCGCAAUGGGCGAAAGCUUGACGGAGCAACGCCGCGUGAGUGAUGAAGGUCUUCGGAUCGUAAAACUCUGUUAUUAGGGAAGAACAAAUGUGUAAGUAACUAUGCACGUCUUGACGGUACCUAAUCAGAAAGCCACGGCUAACUACGUG
This 497-nucleotide ribosomal RNA is filed under the name uncultured bacterium. RNAcentral's name for it is "partial 16S ribosomal RNA". It matches the Rfam family "Bacterial small subunit ribosomal RNA", at positions 28 to 507 of the family's 1533-position model. The record is from RNAcentral.